RNAcentral lists this ribosomal RNA (1271 nucleotides) under metagenome. RNAcentral's name for it is "bacterial LSU rRNA". It matches the Rfam family "Bacterial large subunit ribosomal RNA", at positions 1643 to 2925 of the family's 2925-position model. The record is from RNAcentral.
UGUACCUUAAACCGACACAGGUAGGUAGGUAGAGUAUACCAAGGGGCGCGAGAUAACUCUCUCUAAGGAACUCGGCAAAAUAACCUCGUAACUUCGGAAGAAGAGGUACCCUUGUAAGAGGGUUGCAAUAACCAGACCCUGGCGACUGUUUACCAAAAACACAGGUCUCCGCUAAUUCGUAAGAUUAAGUAUGGAGGCUGACGCCUGCCCAGUGCCGGAAGGUUAAAGAAGUCGGUCAAUCCUUGGAUGAAGCUGGCGACUGAAGCCCCGGUGAACGGCGGCCGUAACUAUAACGGUCCUAAGGUAGCGAAGUUCCUUGUCGGGUAAGUUCCGACCCGCACGAAAGGCGUAACGAUCAGGGUGCUGUCUCGGAGAGAGGCUCGGCGAAAUAGACAUGUCUGUGAAGAUGCGGACUACCUGCACCUGGACAGAAAGACCCUAUGAAGCUUUACUGUAUCUUGGAAUUGGGUUUGGGCCUUGCUUGCGCAGGAUAGGUGAGAGGCUUUGAAGAUGCUCUUGUGGGAGCGUUGGAGCCAAUGGUGAGAUACCACUCUAGCAUGGCUAAAAUUCUAACUUUGAACCGUUAUCCGGUCGAAGAACAGUUUCAGGUGGGCAGUUUGACUGGGGCGGUCGCCUCCUAAAAGGUAACGGAGGCGUGCAAAGGUUCCCUCAGGCUGGUCGGACAUCAGUCGUAGAGUGUAAAGGCAUAAGGGAGCUUGACUGCGAGACCUACAAGUCGAGCAGAGACGAAAGUCGGCCUUAGUGAUCCGACGGUUCCGAGUGGUAGGGCCGUCGCUCAACGGAUAAAAGUUACUCUAGGAUAACAGGCUGAUCUCCCCCAAGAGUUCAUAUCGACGGGGAGGUUUGGCACCUCGAUGUCGGCUCAUCGCAUCCUGGGGCGGUAGUACGUCCCAAGGGUUGGGCUGUUCGCCCAUGAAAGCGGUACGCGAGCUGGGUUCAGAACGUCGUGAGACAGUUCGGUCCAUAUCCGGUGCAGGCGUUAGAGUAUUGAGAGGAGUCCCCCUUAGUACGAGAGGACCGGGGGGAAUACACCGCUGGUGUACCAGUUAUCGUGCCAACGGUAGGCGCUGGGUAGCCAAGUGUAGAGUGGAUAACUGCUGAAAGCAUCUAAGUAGGAAGCCCACCUCAAGAUGAGUACUCUCACCGUUGUAAACGGUUAAGAUCACGGCAAGAACAGCCGUUAUAUAGGCACUAAGUGUAAGUACAGUAAUGUAUUCAGCUGAGGUGUACUAACAGAUCGAGGGCUUGAU